AGGGUUUGAUCCUGGCUCAGAACGUACGCUGGCGGCACGCCUAACACAUGCAAGUCGAACGCAGUAGCAAUACUGAGUGGCAAACGGGUGAGUAUAAUGUGGGAAUCUGCCUUUUGGUUCGGAAUAACACGAGGAAACUUGUGCUAAUACCGGAUAAGCCCUUACGGGGAAAGUUUUAAUGCCAAAAGAUGAGCCCGCACUUGAUUAGCUAGUUGGUAAGGUAAUGGCUUACCAAGGCAACGAUCAAUAGCUGUUCUUAGAGGAAGACCAGCCACAUUGGGACUGAGACACGGCCCAAACUCCUACGGGAGGCAGCAGUGGGGAAUCUUGCACAAUGGGGGAAACCCUGAUGCAGCGAUGCCGCGUGAGUGAAGAAGGCCCUUGGGUUGUAAAACUCUUUCGUCGGGGAAGAAAAUGACUGUACCCGAAUAAGAAGGUCCGGCUAACUUCGUGCCAGCAGCCGCGGUAAUACGAAGGGACCUAGCGUAGUUCGGAAUUACUGGGCUUAAAGAGUUCGUAGGUGGUUAAAAAAGUUGAUGGUGAAAUCCCAAGGCUCAACCUUGGAACUGCCAUCAAAACUUUUUAGCUAGAGUGUGAUAGAGGAAAGUGGAAUUUCUAGUGUAGAGGUGAAAUUCGUAGAUAUUAGAAAGAACAUCAAAAGCGAAGGCAACUUUCUGGAUCAUUACUGACACUGAGGAACGAAAGCAUGGGUAGCGAAGAGGAUUAGAUACCCUCGUAGUCCAUGCCGUAAACGAUGUGUGCUAGACGUUGGAAACUUAGUUUUCAGUGUCGCAGCGAAAGCAUUAAGCACACCGCCUGGGGAGUACGACCGCAAGGUUAAAACUCAAAUGAAUUGACGGGGACCCGCACAAGUAGUGGAGCAUGUGGUUUAAUUCGAAGCAACGCGAAGAACCUUACCAGGCCUUGACAUCCAAUGAACUUUCUAGAGAUAGAUUGGUGCCUUCGGGAACAUUGAGACAGGUGCUGCAUGGCUGUCGUCAGCUCGUGUCGUGAGAUGUUGGGUUAAGUCCCGUAACGAGCGCAACCCUUGUCCUUAGUUACCAGCACGUAAUGGUGGGCACUCUAAGGAGACUGCCGGUGACAAACCGGAGGAAGGAGGGGACGACGUCAAGUCAUCAUGGCCCUUACGCCUAGGGCUACACACGUGCUACAAUGGGCGGUACAGAGGGUAGCUACCUGGCAACAGGAUGCCAAUCUCGAAAACCGUUCACAGUUCGGAUUGGGGUCUGCAACUCGACCCUAUGAAGCUGGAAUCGCUAGUAAUCGCGUAUCAGCAAUGACGCGGUGAAUACGUUCCCGGACCUUGUACACACCGCCCGUCAAGCCAUGAAAGUCUGGUAGACCUGAAG
Molecule: ribosomal RNA, 1370 nt
Filed under: uncultured bacterium
Lineage: Bacteria
Description: partial 16S ribosomal RNA
Rfam family: Bacterial small subunit ribosomal RNA
Source: RNAcentral